RNAcentral lists this ribosomal RNA (489 nucleotides) under uncultured bacterium. Its description in RNAcentral is "partial 16S ribosomal RNA". It matches the Rfam family "Bacterial small subunit ribosomal RNA", at positions 28 to 507 of the family's 1533-position model. The record is from RNAcentral.
GACGAACGCUGGCGGCGUGCUUAACACAUGCAAGUCGAACGGUGAAGGGAUCAGCUUGCUGGUUCUGGAUGAGUGGCGAACGGGUGAGUAACACGUGAGUAACCUGCCCCCUUCUUCUGGAUAACCGCAUGAAAGUGUGGCUAAUACGGGAUAUUCUGGGUCUGUCGCAUGAUGGGUCUGGGAAAGAUAUUGUUUCGGUGGGGGAUGGGCUCGCGGCCUAUCAGCUUGUUGGUGGGGUGAUGGCCUACCAAGGCGGUGACGGGUAGCCGGCCUGAGAGGGGGGACGGUCACACUGGGACUGAGACACGGCCCAGACUCCUACGGGAGGCAGCAGUGGGGAAGAUGGCACAAUGGGCGCAAGCCUGAUGCAGCGACGCCGCGUGAGGGAUGGAGGCCUUCGGGUUGUAAACCUCUUUCGCCAGUGAAGCAGGCCUGCUCCUUGUGGGUGGGUUGACGGUAGCUGGAUAAGAAGCGCCGGCUAACUACGUG